UACGAGAGGCCCAAACGUUAUUCGGAAUUACUGGGCUUAAAGAGUUCGUAGGCGGCAUGAAAAGUAGGGUGUGAAAGCCCUCGGCUCAACCGAGGAAUUGCGCUCUAAACUGUCGUGCUAGAGGAACCUAGAGGUGAGCAGAACUGAUGGUGGAGCGGUGAAAUGCGUUGAUAUCAUCAGGAAUACCGGAGGCGAAGGCGGCUCACUGGGGGUUUUCUGACGCUGAGGAGCGAAAGCCAGGGGAGCAAACGGG
Molecule: ribosomal RNA, 253 nt
Filed under: uncultured bacterium
Lineage: Bacteria
Description: partial 16S ribosomal RNA
Rfam family: Bacterial small subunit ribosomal RNA
Source: RNAcentral